GGAUGUGGGGCGGACACCCCGGAAGCGGAAGGCGGUGCCUCCUCGGCGGCGGAUUCGAGGGUUUGUUGUCAGUAGUAUCAGCUGGUGGCCUGCCAUGCCGUCUGAUGGUCGCUGCUGGGAAACUCUGAGGGCGCUCCGCAAUUCCAGCAAAGGCCGCCUGCGCUACGACCGCGAGUGGUUACUGCGCUACGAGGAUGUUUUGGAAGAAUGUAUGUCUCUUCCCAAACUAUCUUCUUACUCUGGAUGGGUGGUGGAUCACAUCCUACCCAACACCUCACACCACACGCAAGAGAAUGCUCCUUCCUCUGAUAAUUCACCAUCCUCUGGAUCUGCUUCAGGCCUGUACCAAUCCACACUUAAGUCUCCUGUCAGAAGUAGCCCACAAUCUCCUUCACCCUCAACACCAAGUGGAACCCAGAGCGCACAUGAGUCCCCGUUCACAGAACCUAUUGCACUUCAGUCCUCCCGAGCGAUCAAAGUGGAAGGUUGCAUCCGAAUGUAUGAAUUGGCGCACAGAAUGAGAGGAACAGAGGGCCUGAGGCAGUGGCAGGAGGAGCAAGAGAGGAAGGUGCAAGCCCUCUCAGAGAUGGCGUCCGAACAGCUGAAGAGGUUUGACGAGCUGAAGGAGCUGAAGCUGCAUAAGGAGUUCCGGGACUUACAGGAAGUGAUGGAGAAGAGUACCAGAGAAGCCCUGGGCCAUCAGGAGAAGCUGAAAGCUGAGCAUCGCCACAGAGCCAAGAUUCUCAACCUAAAGCUUCGAGAGGCAGAGCAGCAGCGUGUGAAGCAGGCAGAGCAGGAGCAGCUGCGGAAGGAGGAAGGCCAGAUCCGUCUGCGCAGCCUGUACACCCUGCAAGAGGAGGUCCUGCAGCUCAACCAGCAGCUGGAUGCUUCCAGUCAGCACAAAGACCUGCUGAAUGUGGACCUGGCUGCUUUCCAGACCCGGGGCAACCAGCUGUGUGGCCUCAUCUCUGGCAUCAUUCGCACCACCUUGGAGAGUGGCUAUCCCACAGCAGAGAACCAAGCUGAGGCUGAGCGAGUCCUGCAGGAAAUGCGGGACCUCCUCUCAAAUUUGGAGCAGGAGAUCACCAGAGCCUCUGAAAUGAAGAAGAAAGAUGAAGAAGAGGCUCGGGUCAAGCUGCAGGAGUCACAGGUGCAGCAGGGGCCAGGGGCUCCCACCAAGACCUCUGCACCCAGCCCAAGCCUAGUAGGGACACAGAGUGAAGACCUGCAGGUGAAGGUACAGGAUAGUACGAUGCAGUGGUACCAGCAACUUCAGGAUGCUUCUGCCAAAUGCGUGUUGGCCUUUGAGGACCUGACCAGCAGCAAGGACAGUCAGAUCAAAAAGAUAAAGAUGGACCUGCAGAAGGCAGCCACCAUCCCAGUGAGCCAGAUCUCCACCAUCGCAGGUUCCAAGCUGAAGGAGGUUUUUGACAAGAUCCACAGCCUGCUCUCUGGAAAGCCUGUCCAGUCUGGUGGACGUUCUGUGUGCGUCACUCUUAACCCACAGGGGUUGGACUUUGUCCAGUACAAACUGGCCGAGAAAUUUGUGAAACAAGGGGAGGAGGAAGUGGCCUCUCACCACGAAGCAGCCUUCCCCAUUGCAGUGGUGGCCUCUGGUAUCUGGAUGCUCCACCCCAAAGUGGGAGACCUCAUUCUUGCCCACCUCCACAAGAAGUGUCCGUACUCCGUUCCUUUCUACCCAGCUUUCAAGGAGGGGAUGCCUCUGGAGGAUUAUCAACGGAUGCUUGGCUACCAAGUGACGGAUUCCAAGGUUGAGCAACAGGACAACUUUCUAAAACGAAUGUCUGGGAUGAUCCGUUUGUAUGCCGCCAUCAUCCAGCUCCAGUGGCCAUAUGGAAGCCGGCAGGAGGCUCAUCCUCACGGCUUAAAUCAUGGCUGGCGCUGGUUGGCGCAGAUCUUAAACAUGGAGCCUCUCUCAGAUGUGACAGCCACUCUCCUGUUUGACUUCUUGGAGGUCCCUGCAGGCUUCCAGCGAUCCAGGAUCCAAGGCGUGCCCCGCCACAGCCAGCUGAAAGAGCAGCUCCUGAAUAAGCUUCAGGAGCUGGGCCUGCUGCUCCAUGGAGUAACACCAGCAAAAGGAGCCUUAGCAGGAGGGCCACAAGGCUGAGACCAGCCUGGGCUACCCAAUAAGACCCUGCCUCGAGUUAAUGAAUGGUGUGUGGGAAUGCCCUCAUGAAGCAGUACCAGGUCCAGUUCUGGAAGAUGAUCCUUCUCAUCAAAGAGGACUACUUCCCCAGGUCCAGUGUGUUUAAAUGUUCUUUCUAAACUUCUCCAUAUUAUCUGGGAUCGUGAUUGCAAGUAGUCAUGGACUGACCUGGCCCACUGAGAUGGUGAGUUGAUCAGUAAGUCAGUUGGGGGAAUGGUAUGCCUGCCGCACUGCCUGACUGUUCUGUGUUCUCACCUAGCCACUGUGAAGAACUCUAAUAAACUCACUGGGGCUCCAGGUAGGAAGGCUUUGUCAGCACUCAUCCUGCCUGCUCUGACCUCAGGCAAGAGCAGUUGUCCUCCUCCUUUGUCCCUUUGGAAGAACAGCGAGGACCACGUGAAAGAGCGGCCAGCACUCUUUAGAAGUCAGUGGGUCUGGUCCUUACCUGAUGGAGUGUUGUGAUGCAUCAAGGGGGACUUCUCACAAGUCUCUCUGUCUCUCUCCCCCAUAGAAUUGAAGCCAUCACGAGCUCAGGACAGAUGGGUUCCUUCAUACGUCUGAAGCAGUUCUUGGAGAGACUCCCAACGAGAACAAAGAUGAUCAUCAGAAGACUGGGUUUUGAUACCCACUGAUGGUGUAGGCUCAGGAACCAUGACCCAGCAGCUGAUCUCGGUAGCUCCACAUGCGCAUCGGAUUCUUGGCCACGGGAUGCUACAAGCUACGUUCUCUCCACAGCUCGGGUCGUCACUCUUCUGCCUGCUUCCACCGCACCUCGCCCUCAUUUCUUGGGCUGAGUACUCAAACUUUUGUCAUGCACUGUCCUGUACCAUCUUAGUUCAGAUCCGAUGAUGUGCUGAAAUUCCAGAGCAGAGUUCCAGCCUUCGUGCACUCUUUCAGCCUUGGAACCACACCUUGCGUGCACGCACUCACACACACAAACACACACACACACUCACACACACUCACACACACACAAACACUCACAACCCACAAACACACACACAUUCACUCACACACACACACUCACACACACCCACAAACACACUCACACACACAAACACACUCACACACACAAACACACUCACACACUCACACACAAACACACACCCACAAACACACACACACGCACACACACAAACACAACCCAUACACACAAACACUCACAACCCACACACACACUCACACACAAACACACUCACACAAACACACCCACAAACACACACACUCACAAACACACACACACUCACACACGCAUGCGCGACAAAUUCUGUUGAUAGUUGCAGUGACAUAAUGAAGUUUAGAUAUCCCUCAGUGCCGGGACAAUGAGCCACAGAGCUGCUCAUGUCUGUCACACAUGACUAAUUUUCCCUUUUCUCUGCCACACUUAAUGAACUUACUGGAUGUCCUGUGGAUCUACAGAAAGCAGACAGGCUCUGGGCUUCUAGUAAUGUGAUGUACUUGCAAAAACACCCAUUGUAACAGGCUUACCCAUAGUGCCUAAGGAUUGCCAGGCUUCCUUUAUUACAUAAUGCCCAUUUAGGGGCCGGAGAGGUGCCUCAGCAGUUAAGAGCACUUGCUAUUGCAGAGGACCCACGUUUAGUUCCCAGCAUCCUUGAGUUUCACAACUGUAAUUCCAGUUUCAGACGAUCCAGUGCCCUUUUCUAGCCUCCAAGGGCACUAGGCAUGAACAUAGUGUAAGAAAAUCACUCAUACACAUAAAACUUUUUUUUUUAAAUCAAAGGAUUGGAAAAGCAAGAACAUACUUUGGACUGCUUUGAGGCAGAUGGUUGGCAUUGAUCUGUAAUGCUGAGAAUGAACCUGGGCUUCUCCUAUAAGAAGUUCAUGAGCUUCUUCAAGAGCUGCUGACAACAUCCCAGCUAGUCCUAUGCUUUUGAAGCAGGUAAAUAGGUGCAUAGAGAGAAGCAGUGAGAACCAGUGUCGAGGGGCAGGGAACAGUACAUGCUUCUCUAGCUCUGGAAUGACUACACCAUCAUUAGACUAUUCUCUAGAGAAUGGAAAGCUAACAUUGAUUUUGAGGUUUGACAUGGCUUAUGAAACUCUUAAACAGUGUUUAGCAGGAAAUCUGGGCAUGAUGGUACCACCUCCUGCAAUCACAACACUGAAGCAGCUGAAGCAGGAGAAUUGCCAUGAGCUCCAGGAUAGAUAGACUAGGUCACAGCAUGAGACCUUAUCUUAAACAACAAAAAGUUUACAUGCCAUUAAUCCCAGUACUCCAGGAUGGCUCUGCAGGUAAAGGUAAAUGCCAUCAAGCCUGUGUUUAAACCCCAGAAUCCACAAGGCAGAAGGAGAACCAACAGUGCAGGUUGUCCUCUGACCUCCAUAUAGCACACAUAAUAGUUUACGUGGUAGAAUAUGUUUACAAGUGCCCAGUCCAGAUUGCCGGAACUUUCUCUCUAGUCCAAGAUGGAAACUGGCCCUUUCCCCCCAUCUGAGACUCAGCAGUUGCUGAUUGUAAGGUAAGCAGAAUCAUCUAAUAUUGGUCCUUCUGUCUGGCUCCUUUCACUUAGCAUAAUGCCCUCAGGUUUCACAUAGUCACGAUGUUUGGAAGACCUGUGUGACUGGCCUGCCAACUCUGCUCCUGCAGAUCUGAAGAGCCAUUUUCUCUGCUUGACCCUUCCCAAUCAGCUUGACAGGGAGGAAAAACUAACACAAGCACUUGAUUUGAACUUUGGAGAGUGCAAGACCAGUAAAAGAAGUAGACAAGUAACAAUUAGCAUAUUUCCCCAUCCAACAACAGACCUUUUGAACAGGGGGCCAGGGCUAGCUAGAGUUUUAAGUCUUAGGGACUGCAGUAAUCAGGAGAGCCUUAGAAUUCACUUGGAUUCACUGCUUGUAAGGAGGCCAGGAGAGGCGUAGCCAAGAACCGGAGCGAACCGAGCUGUCAUGCUGGGCUGUGCUGCUUUAUUUUCUCCCUCUGAAGUUCUCUUAUAAAAAUAAGGUUAUUAUCUGCAGCAUCCCUUCCCCAUCCCCACGCAGAACAGUGUGAGGCAUGUGCUGAAACUGAUGGGAGGGAAGGAGGGAGGGAAGCAACAAGAGAAGCCAUGAGGAAUGGCUUUUCCAUGGCUCACUUCUUGUGCCAGAUGAGAGAACAGGGUGGGUGGGUGAGGAGGAGCCUGAGGAUACUGUUAUCCUGGCCACUCAUUAGAAAACCAACCAACAACCAGGAUUUUUUUUCCCCCCAAUGGAAAGAGAGCUCCCUAUAGGUCUUGGAUUUGUUUGGCAUUUGGGAGAAACAGUAGAAGUGCUAUUUCAGAACGGGGCCACGGAGGUUAACUAUCCACAGCCCAGAGACCCAUCCUUCACCACUGAAGCAGAAGGUCUUAGGAAUUUUUAAGUGUUAAAUUAUACUAGCCAUUUUCUACCCAAGGCUGAAUAUCUGAGUUUUAAAUUUGCUGCUGCUGGCGGAAGAGGUGGUUACUAUGGUCACCAUCAGCUGUUUUCAGAAAUGCACGGUCCACAGCCUGCUGUGGUGGUGCAUACUUUCAAUCCCAGAACUCAGGAGAAAGAGACAGGGGAUCUCUGAGUUUGAGGCCUACCGGGUCUACACAGCAAGUUCCAGGACAGCCAGAGCUACAAAGGGAAACCCUGUCUGGAAAAACAAAGAAAAAAAGAAAAGGAAAAACGGCACAGUUCAGAAAGUAGCUCCUCAACCAGUUUUCUUUGUAAAGAAGAUGGCAGUUAAUGUCUCCUAGCACCUGCCUUUUUUCUUCCCUGAAGCUGCUGCUGGGCGUGGCCACUCCUUUUUUAUCUUUCCACUCCGAGGAAAAAGACUAGGAAUCUUCUUUCACUAUCAUGUCUACAGCCAGUGUAGCCUAGAAGUCACCUUGCAGAUCCUAGGCUCAGCAGAAACCAAACUGCAGAAGACCAGGAAGCUUGGACUGGGCCUCAUCCCAGUUCUGGAGCAAUGCCCAGUUCUUUAUAAUUAUUUAAAUAGGAGGGUGGCUUGGUAACCAGGAGGCUGAUGCCUGGCAGAGCUGCAGAACUCCCAGUAGGCCUGACUACACAGGAAUGAGCUGGGUGCUACUCCAAUGGUUGCCACACAGCUGUCACCCGAAAUGGAGGAAGGGAAAAGGCGUUUGCAGUGGAGGAGCCUGGUGAUAGAGUUUAGAGCCAGGCUCUGAAAACGGGCUGUGCAUUGGACAGAAAUUACAGAAAUUUUGUUUUCUUCUUCUCAGAAGUCUAGCACCUACCUGCUUAACUGCUUGUGUUCAAAUCUUAGCUUCUGAUUGCUUCCUGCCUGACCUGGGGAGAGAGCUACCUUCUAUGUAUUAGGAUGUUAAUUUGUAAAAUGGGGAAGGGAAUCUCUACCUUGUAAAAUUAGUGUAGGGAUUAAAAGCUCAAAGAGGCAGCAUGCACAGUGUCAGCUAAACAGCAAAGUUCAAUUAAUAGUGGGGAAAGUAAUAUCGUUUAUCAACUGGGACGAAUACACCCUAUUUUACUGGCAACAGGAAGAAAGAUUGCUGGAGAAUUCUCCAAAUCCUGAAAUAAAAGCCUUAUGCCACAAAUCAGUCUUUUUUUUUUUUUUCCUAAUCAGGAUUUUUUUUUCCUACCACCUCCUCAAACACGGAGCCCCAAAUCAUCUCAUUUUUUUUGGCCCCAGCCCCCACCAUAAUUGGCAGACUUGGGUCUCCCAGAGCCAAGCCUCCUCCUGAGAAAGUGGAGAGUGGGAGCCAACAUUCCAGUGAGAUCACCCGAAAGGGACAGGGCGUCUUUCCGGCCAGGGCAGCAACAUCCCCAGCUUGACUGCAGCGACGGGCCCCGCCCCGCCCUUCGCCGCAGUCUCCGAAGAGCUCCCAGGGCGGAGGGGUGCGGCACAGAUUCUCUGCAGGGCGGACUGGGCGGGGCAGAAUUGCUCCGGUCCCACGCCGCGGCGGGCGGAUGCGGCGGCUCCUUUGCGCCGCGCGCUCCCGAUGUCCCCUUCCUCCGCCGCCCUUCGGUCGUUUGCCCC
This is a non-coding RNA of Rattus norvegicus (Norway rat), 7136 nucleotides long. The record is from RefSeq and is a predicted model, not a curated record. NCBI's taxonomy places the organism in Eukaryota, Metazoa, Chordata, Mammalia, Rodentia, Muridae.